UACGUAGGGGGCAAGCGUUGUCCGGAAUCAUUGGGCGUAAAGAGCGCGUAGGCGGUCCGGUAAGUCCGCUCUGAAAGUCCGGGGCUCAACCCCAGGAGGCGGGCGGAUACUGCCGGGCUAGAGUCCGGAAGAGGCGAGUGGAAUUCCUGGUGUAGCGGUGAAAUGCGCAGAUAUCAGGAGGAACACCGAUGGCGAAGGCAGCUCGCUGGGACGGUACUGACGCUGAGGUGCGAAAGCGUGGGGAGCAAACAGG
This 253-nucleotide ribosomal RNA is filed under the name uncultured bacterium. Its description in RNAcentral is "partial 16S ribosomal RNA". It matches the Rfam family "Bacterial small subunit ribosomal RNA", at positions 524 to 776 of the family's 1533-position model. The record is from RNAcentral.